AUGGGGCGAAGCACAGUUAAUCCUAUUUGGAGUAAGAUAUGGAAGUUAUCGUGUCCGGCAAAAGUCAAAAUUUUUAUAUGGCGUACAUUACAUGGAAUGCUUCCAUGUCGGGUUACGCUCGCAAAUAGACAUAUGAAGGUCGCCCAUUUGCCUACUUGCUCUGAGGGUUCUGAAGAUACAAAGCAUAUGCUUUUCCUUUGCAGUAGAGCAAAAGAGGUUUGGACAAGGCUGGGGAUGGAUGAUAUCAUUGAUAAAGCUUGCAAGGUUGACCUUGCUGGAGAGGCGGUGCUGGAAUACCUACUACUUCUGCCAGACCAAGAUUUGAGGAUAAUGGGUCAUCACAAUGUGCGCGAAAUGAUUGCUGUUUCAACAUGGUAUCUAUGGUGGGAAAGACGGAAGUUAGUGCACAAGGAGACAACUCAGAAUGCACUUCAGAUAUCAAUGAGGAUUCUAGCCCUUACGUCAAACUUCGUAAAUGCAUCAUCCCCCAAGGCUACUAUGAAAAAGGGGGGUUGGUCAUGUCCUCCUAGGGCUUUUGUGAAACUUAACGUUGACGCUUCUUUUGACCAUGACCUACUUAGGGGCAUGAUGGGGGCGGUUUUGAGAGAUGAAAAAGGUAGGUUUAUCGCGGGAGGAAACGGGAAGAUUGACUAUUGCGAAGAUGUGUUGAUGGCGGAAUCCUCAGCUCUUAAAUUUGGUAUAGCAAAGGGCGGGAUGUAA
This 720-nucleotide ribosomal RNA is filed under the name Triticum aestivum (bread wheat). RNAcentral's name for it is "partial small subunit ribosomal RNA". The record is from RNAcentral. Lineage: Eukaryota; Viridiplantae; Streptophyta; Magnoliopsida; Poales; Poaceae.